AGGAGACAAAGCGGUUUGGCUUGGAGCAGUGGAGAGGGAUAGGGAGUGACCGAAGCAACGGAGAAUCUGCUGAUGCUGCUGUUCGUGAGGAGUACGAGGAAUAGAGAGAGUGAGUGGUGAUUGCCCAUGUUUUGUUCUUUGGGAUGGGAGCGAGCGGAAGAGCACACAGUCU
Molecule: long non-coding RNA, 172 nt
Organism: Rhodamnia argentea
Lineage: Eukaryota; Viridiplantae; Streptophyta; Magnoliopsida; Myrtales; Myrtaceae
Exons: 3
Source: RefSeq, a predicted model, not a curated record